This 253-nucleotide ribosomal RNA is filed under the name uncultured bacterium. RNAcentral describes it as "partial 16S ribosomal RNA". It matches the Rfam family "Bacterial small subunit ribosomal RNA", at positions 524 to 776 of the family's 1533-position model. The record is from RNAcentral.
GACAGAGGGUGCAACCGUUGCUCGGAAUUACUGGGCGUAAAGCGCGUGUAGGCGGGUUGGUAAGUCAGACGUGAAAUCCCCGAGCUCAACUCGGGAACUGCAUUUGAAACUGCCAGCCUAGAGUGAUGGAGAGGGUAGCGGAAUUCCUGGUGUAGAAGUGAAAUUCGUAGAUAUCAGGAGGAACACCGGUGGCGAAGGCGACUACCUGGACAUUAACUGACGCUGAGACGCGAAAGCGUGGGGAGCAAACAGG